GUCCUCAUGGGGAAGUUGAUUCCAUGACU
RNAcentral lists this non-coding RNA (29 nucleotides) under Rattus norvegicus (Norway rat). The record is from RNAcentral. Lineage: Eukaryota; Metazoa; Chordata; Mammalia; Rodentia; Muridae.